GCAAGUCGAGCGAUGAAAUUUCGACAGAUCCCUUCGGGGUGAAGAUGAAAUGGAUUAGCGGCGGACGGGUGAGUAACACGUGAGUAACCUGCCUUUGACAUUGGGAUAGCCUCGGGAAACUGGGAUUAAUACCAAAUGACACUAACUGGUCACAUGAUCAAUUAGUCAAAGAAAUUCGGUCAAAGAUGGACUCGCGGCUGAUUAGCUAGUUGGUGAGGUAACGGCCCACCAAGGCGACGAUCAGUAGCCGGCCUGAGAGGGUGAUCGGCCACAUUGGAACUGAGACACGGUCCAAACUCCUACGGGAGGCAGCAGUGGGGAAUAUUGCACAAUGGGGGAAACCCUGAUGCAGCGACGCCGCGUGAGCGAAGAAGGCCUUCGGGUCGUAAAGCUCUUUUAUGAGGGAAGAUAAUGACGGUACCUCAAGAAAAAGCCCCGGCUAACUACGUGCCAGCAGCCGCGGUAAUACGUAGGGGGCUAGCGUUGUCCGGAAUCACUGGGCGUAAAGGGUUCGCAGGCGGAAUAACAAGUCAGAUGUGAAGGGCAUGGGCUCAACCCAUGUAAGCAUUUGAAACUGUAAUUCUUGAGAAGUGGAGAGGUAAGUGGAAUU
RNAcentral lists this ribosomal RNA (610 nucleotides) under uncultured bacterium. RNAcentral describes it as "bacterial SSU rRNA". It matches the Rfam family "Bacterial small subunit ribosomal RNA", at positions 57 to 668 of the family's 1533-position model. The record is from RNAcentral.